Molecule: ribosomal RNA, 253 nt
Filed under: uncultured bacterium
Lineage: Bacteria
Description: partial 16S ribosomal RNA
Rfam family: Bacterial small subunit ribosomal RNA
Source: RNAcentral
UACGUAGGGCGCAAGCGUUAUCCGGAAUUAUUGGGCGUAAAGAGCUCGUAGGCGGUUUGUCGCGUCUGCUGUGAAAACUCGGGGCUUAACCCCGGGCCUGCAGUGGGUACGGGCAGACUAGAGUGCGGUAGGGGAGACUGGAAUUCCUGGUGUAGCGGUGAAAUGCGCAGAUAUCAGGAGGAACACCGGUGGCGAAGGCGGGUCUCUGGGCAGUAACUGACGCUGAGGAGCGAAAGCGUGGGGAGCGAACAGG